This 502-nucleotide ribosomal RNA is filed under the name uncultured bacterium. RNAcentral describes it as "partial 16S ribosomal RNA". It matches the Rfam family "Bacterial small subunit ribosomal RNA", at positions 29 to 523 of the family's 1533-position model. The record is from RNAcentral.
AAUGAACGCUAGCGGCAGGCUUAAUACAUGCAAGUCGAGGGGCAGCGCAGUGUAGCAAUACAUGGGCGGCGACCGGCAAACGGGUGCGGAACACGUACGCAACCUUCCUUUAAGUGGGGGAUAGCCCAGGGAAACUUGGAUUAAUACCCCGUAAUAUUAUGAAGUGGCAUCACUUUAUACUUAUAGCUCCGGCGCUUAAAGAUGGGCGUGCGACUGAUUAGGUAGUUGGCGGGGUAACGGCCCACCAAGCCUUCGAUCAGUAACUGGUGUGAGAGCACGACCAGCCACACGGGAACGGAGACACGGGCCCGACUCCUACGGGAGGCAGCCGUAAGGAAUAUUGGUCAGUGGACGCAAGUCUGAACCAGCCAUGCCGCGUGGAGGAUGAAGGUCCUCUGGAUUGUAAACUUCUUUUAUUUGGGAAGAAACCCACUGUUUCUACGGUGGUUGACGGUACCAGAUGAAUAAGCACCGGCUAACUCCGUGCCAGCCGCCGCGGUAA